CCUACGGGUGGCAGCAGUGGGGAAUAUUGCACAAUGGGGGAAACCCUGAUGCAGCGACGCCGCGUGAGUGAAGAAGUAUUUCGGUAUGUAAAGCUCUAUCAGCAGGGAAGAAAAUGACGGUACCUGAUUAAGAAGCCCCGGCUAACUACGUUCCAGCAGCCGCGGUAAUACGUAGGGGGCAAGCGGUAUCCGGAUUUACUGGGUGUAAAGGGAGCGUAGACGGCAGCACAAGUCUGGAGUGAAAUGCCGGGGCUUAACCCCGGAACUGCUUUGGAAACUGGGCAGCGAGAGUGCAGGAGAGGUAAGUGGAAUUCCUAGUGUAGCGGUGAAAUGCAGAGAUAUCACGCAGAACGCCGAUGGCGAAGGCAGCUUACCGGCGCUCAACUGACGCUGAGGCACGAAAGUGCGGGUAUCGAACAGGAUUAGAUACCCUUGUAGUC
Molecule: ribosomal RNA, 440 nt
Filed under: uncultured bacterium
Lineage: Bacteria
Description: partial 16S ribosomal RNA
Rfam family: Bacterial small subunit ribosomal RNA
Source: RNAcentral